This 2586-nucleotide long non-coding RNA is filed under the name Homo sapiens (human). RNAcentral describes it as "HSALNT0308322". Lineage: Eukaryota; Metazoa; Chordata; Mammalia; Primates; Hominidae. The record is from RNAcentral.
GGCCUCAAGAGGCGACCUCCGUUCGGGCCCAUCCAAGCCGGGCCGCAUCCAGCCCGCCGCCUCCCUCUCCCUCUGCCCGGCGUCCACGACCCGCAGCGUCCGCCCGGGGUGAGCGGGGCGCCGCGUCUCACCGAAUUUAAGGCGAAGAGGAAAGAGCCAGAAAUCCCCGAUGUACCGGCAACUGCGGCGGUGUCUCCUCUGCGACCGGAACUAACGCCAGGAGGAGGGAGAGGUGCCACCCCCGCCCGGACCGCUCUCCUAUCGCGAGAUUUCUUCCCCUUGCCCCGCCCUGAUCGUGGACAGGCGCUUCCGCCUUUUCUAUUGCGCGCGGAUUAGGAGCGAAGAGGACACAGGCCGAAGAUUGAGAAGGGGAAAUUCUGUCCUCCAACCGCGGUCCCUGCGCGCUGCAGCGGUUGUCUCCCGAGUGUGGUGGCUAUGGGGACUUGGAGAGCAUCAGAAUCCCUUGGAGGACUUGUUAUAACAGACUGCUGGGCCCCACCCGUAGUUUCUCAUUCUGUAGGCCUGGUGUGGAACCCAUGAAUGUGCAUUUCCAACAAGUUAUCUGUGAUGCUGCUGCUGGUCCGCACCUUGAGAACCCCUCAGUUAGAGGCUAUAUCAUCAGGGAGCUGGGGUACGAUCAGAUUAGAUAGUGCGUGUGAAAAGCACUGUGGACGUGACAAAACUCUGUGCAGAUAAAGAUGCACAGCGCCUCUAGGAUGUAGCCCCAUGUUUUUAUUCACUGUACAGUAGUUUACUUCUCUCCAGUUGCUUCCUCACUCUCUGGUAGGAGGAGAGUGGCUUCUCUUCCCUAAACCUUUUGAUAAAAUAGUUUGUUGACUUCUUUUCCCUAAUUAACUAUCUGACCUCUACCCCACCCCCCCGCAACUUCAUGGAAAAAUGACUUUCUCAGCGUUCGUUCCUGAAAUUAUUGCCAAACCCAGUGUUUUAUUCUUCACCCUGUUUGCCUCCUCUGAGCAUUGAAUGUUACCUACCUCUCUCCUUGAAUCCUGGCUCCAGCUAUCCUGGUUACGUUCUGAAUGUGCCUUUGCACGGUAUUUUCUGACUCUUCUUUUCUGUACUGAUACCUUUUCUUUCUGGAUACUUUCUUCUAUGGCAGUCUCAUACAUUCUCAAGGAUUUAACAUUUACUCCACUUAAAAGAGUUCCAAGAUCAUCUACUGAAUCAUUAAGCAAAUAUUUGUUAAAUCCAGGCUCUAUGCCCUUCCAAGUUGAGGCAACAGCAGUGGGAAGGAGGCAGGAAACAAACUGCAUCUGUUGGAGGAACUGCAAGAAGCUAGUGUGAUUGGGAGGGCUGUGGGGAGCAGAGGGAAGUGGCUGGAGUCUGAUCUCUAAGUGUCUAGCCCCUUCCUUUCUCCCAAGGCCCCAGUCCACACUAUCUGGCAUCUUCACUUCAUGGCUAAUUUAACACUGUCAGUGCUGUCAAUUGCUCUUCCCCCAGAACUGUAUUUUUCACAUCUGAAGUUCUGUUAAAGGACAACGUUUCACAAAUAAAAAUGAUAACUAAUAUGUCCCUAUAUGUAUCAGGCCCUCUUCUAUGCACUUUAUGUAGUAACCCCAUUUCAUCCUGAAAACUACCCUGUAAUCUAGACACUAUUAUUAGUCCCAUUUUACAGAUGGAAAAGCCGAGGCAUCGAGGUCAGGUAACUUGUCUAAGAUCAUAGCGCUAGUAAGUGGAAGAGGUCCAGUUGAACCCAAGCAGUCUGGCUUCACCAUUAUAAUGCACCGCCUUACCACCAAGAUCUUAUUUAUUCAUUCAACAAAUAUUUAUUCAGCUAGAGACCAGUAGAGAUAGUGACAUGUUACGCCUAUGGCCUCACAAAGCUUAUCUUCUAUUUUUGCCACGUUUUAAAAUUGUAUCAUCUUUCCCCAGUACCAUCUUGAUUUAGGCAUCUAUUACCCCUAACUAAAUGGGACUUUUGCAAUAACUUCCUAACUGUACUAUCCCCUUUCUCAACAUUUCCAGAGCAAUCUUCUCAACUGCAAGCUGAAUCAUUUCUCUUCACUGUUUAAAUGCCUCUGUUUAUACUCAGGGAUAGCUCUGACCAAUGUUUUUCACCUUUACUUCCCAUCACAUUUGUGGUUCUUAACCUGUUAUUACCAUCAUUGUGGGGUAUGUAGCAAAUGAUUUUUGACUAAAAAUGAUAUUAAAGUAAGCAGAUUAUUUUCUUUAAAAUGUAAAGUGGAUUAAAGGUUUUCCUGAACUCCUGGCCUCAAAUAAUCCUCCCACCUUGGCCUCCUGAAGUGUUGGGAUUACAGACCACACCUUGCCACUUAUCUUUUCUCUGCUUUUGGGUGCACCCAUGGGAAUAGGCACCGUGCAGCUAGCAGGGGAAACGUUGUUUGUGAAUUGUAUUAUGGUAGGAAAAGGUUCCAAACAAUUGAACUCUAUGCUUUGGUCAGACAGGACACAUCUUGUCUUGACCUUUCUUGAGAUGUCCUUCCCUCAUUUUCCACUGUCAAAAUCCCACUAUUGUUUCAAGCCUUAUCUCAACUACUGCUUUUUUCCCAUAAGCCUUUCUUAGUCAUGGAUGUGAACACAUUCCUUCUUUGUAAUUGGGCUACAGGC